This 522-nucleotide ribosomal RNA is filed under the name uncultured bacterium. RNAcentral's name for it is "partial 16S ribosomal RNA". It matches the Rfam family "Bacterial small subunit ribosomal RNA", at positions 28 to 522 of the family's 1533-position model. The record is from RNAcentral.
GACGAACGCUGGCGGCGUGCCUAAUACAUGCAAGUCGAACGCUUUUUCUUUCACCGGAGCUUGCUCCACCGAAAGAAAAAGAGUGGCGAACGGGUGAGUAACACGUGGGUAACCUGCCCAUCAGAAGGGGAUAACACUUGGAAACAGGUGCUAAUACCGUAUAACACUAUUUUACGCAUGGAAGAAAGUUGGAAGGCGAUCUUGCGUCACUGAUGGAUGGACCCGCGGUGCAUUAGCUAGUUGGUGAGGUAACGGCUCACCAAGGCAACGAUGCAUAGCCGACCUGAGAGGGUGAUCGGCCACACUGGGACUGAGACACGGCCCAGACUCCUACGGGAGGCAGCAGUAGGGAAUCUUCGGCAAUGGACGAAAGUCUGACCGAGCAACGCCGCGUGAGUGAAGAAGGUUUUCGGAUCGUAAAACUCUGUUGUUAGAGAAGAACAAGGAUGAGAGUAGAACGUUCAUCCCUUGACGGUAUCUAACCAGAAAGCCACGGCUAACUACGUGCCAGCAGCCGCCGAA